GAUGAAAACGUAGCGAAAUGCGAUACUUGGUGUGAAUUGCAGAAUCCCGUGAACCAUCGAGUCUUUGAACGCAAGUUGCGCCCGAAGCCACUAGGCCGAGGGCACGCCUGCCUGGGCGUCACACGUCGUUGCCCCCCCAUCUACUCCUUCGGGAUUGCGGGGGGGCGGAUGAUGGCCUCCCGUGCGCCUAGCCGCGCGGUUGGCAUAAAUACCAAGUCCUCGGCGACGCACGCCACGACAAUCGGUGGUUGCGAAACCUCGGUUGCCCGUCGUGUGCGUUCGUCGCGCAUCGAGGGCUCGAAAAAAUGCUCGGCUUCGGCUCGGCUUUCAACGCGACCCCAGGUCAGGCGGGGUUACCCGCUGAAUUUAAGCAUAUCAAUAAGCGGAGGA
RNAcentral lists this unclassified non-coding RNA (390 nucleotides) under soil metagenome. RNAcentral describes it as "partial contains 5.8S ribosomal RNA, internal transcribed spacer 2, and large subunit ribosomal RNA". The stretch from base 1 to 121 matches the Rfam family "5.8S ribosomal RNA", at positions 35 to 154 of the family's 154-position model. The record is from RNAcentral.